Molecule: unclassified non-coding RNA, 758 nt
Filed under: Hevea brasiliensis (rubber tree)
Lineage: Eukaryota; Viridiplantae; Streptophyta; Magnoliopsida; Malpighiales; Euphorbiaceae
Source: RNAcentral
UGUAUGAUUUAGGAUGUGAAAAUAGAUGAAAACAGACUCAAUAUCAAGUUUGAUUGUGUCAAGGAACCUCCAAGUGUAUUAUCAUUAGGAAUAUAAUAUGAAGAGUUAUUAGUGAAAUUGAACUUUGCUAAAAACAUGUAUUGCCUUUUGUUGUAUCUCUGUUAUUUUUUAGGUGAGGAUGGAAUCGGCAGAAUAUGAAAGGAUGACUCUUCUAGGAUAUCUUUGUUCUCUUUAGAGUUAUUUUGUGGUUAUCAUUUUUUAUUUUGGUUAGGUGUGGAUAUAUGAUAGGAGUGACACAGGGAUUAAAUGAUGACUUUAGGAUUAAUUGCUCUUUGGGUACUUCCAUGUUAACAUACAAGGAUUAACUGACUAAAAUUGAAUUUCUUUAUCAUAUUAAUUGAGGGAGCUAGCCCAUGAACUGCACAAUACACGACUCUGUCAUCACUACAGUUAUUAAAGAGGUGCGCUUGAGGUGUGAGGCGCAACAGCCGACAAGGAGAGUGCCUCGUAGCUGCGGAGGUAGGCAACCUCACCUAGGCGCACCAAGGCGCCAAGCGUGCCAAUUGUAGACAGCCACUGACCGGAAGAAUCUCCUACUCCUUCUCAGUUGGCUUAAAGAAGUUGUAGGCUGCUAUGAUGUGGAUGUUUUUUAUUGGUGCUUUACAAAUAUCUUUAAUGAUGAAUAACAUAUUGCAUAUAUUUCUAUAUGUGAUUAAUUUAUGGUGCUUAUAUAAUUUAUUUUAAAUGAGUUUGUUGCA